Molecule: long non-coding RNA, 1168 nt
Organism: Zalophus californianus (California sea lion)
Lineage: Eukaryota; Metazoa; Chordata; Mammalia; Carnivora; Otariidae
Exons: 5
Source: RefSeq, a predicted model, not a curated record
GUCGUGAGCACCAGAGAAGGGGCUGCUGGUGGCAUGCCUCCCGUCUCUGCUUCACCAGCAACAAUCUUCUGUUUUGUUAACUGAUAUGAGAAAACUGAGGCAAGUCAAGUUACCUGCCCAACAUCAUACUGUGAGGAAACAGCCGAAGCAGAAUUUGAACAUAAGUCAUCUGGCUCUAGGAUCCACGCUCUCAACUACAACCAGCUGAUGUCCCAAACGUCAUGAAAUCUAAUUCCUAAGAAUUCAGGGCACGGUGGAAAGAUAAAGUGGGAAAUUGGAAGAGAGAAGGAGUUUGUACAUUUCCUUAAAAUAUACAGCACUCAAAGUCCAAAGGCAAUGUCAGCUCAUAUCUAAACAGAAGUGGACAUGAAGACAAACUUCCAAAAUGAGCAGAAUGAAAUCACAAUCAAAAUCCAAUUUUCACUGAGGUUACAGAAGGGCUAGAAUCCCAGCCACGGGAAGGAGCUGGGGGCCUUCCCAAGACCCCUUCAGAGGAACUCAAGGCCCAGGCGCUGGCUGUCUCAUGGCUACACGGUGCGACAGAGCCUGGAUGAGAAAUCACUCUUCCGGACUCAAGACUGAGAGCACUUCCCAGGAACGUUCUGCUUCUUUCUAUCUGCCCUGUGAGCCCAUAUCUCACCGUACCCUCAGAGGGGCCUUUCUGUUUCCCAGGUUCCUGAGCAACUCAAAGGACAGCCAGGGAGGGAAUGCUGUGCAGCCGACAGCCUCACACAUCGAGAAAAGCGAUGGCUUCUACAAGAUACUUCCCAAAAUUCAGAAGCCAACACUUGUUGUGAAAGGACAAAAUAAAUCAAAACUUUUCAGUACCUGAGUGAAGCAGCAAUCGUCACCAUCUCCCUCCUCCUACCUCCUCCUACCCCCAAUCCCCAACCAUCCCAUUCCCAGUCCCUUGCUCUCAAAUUUUCCUUCUUUUUUCUUGCCCUAGUGCGAUCCCCAAACUGCUCACCUGCCCAGCCAGGAUUCCACCUGCUAAAAGUUCCUACAACGUGCCUGAGCACAAACUAUUAUCCUGACUAUCUUUUUGCUCUCCGCCUCUGAGCCUGGGGAAGCUGGGGGUGGGGGGAAUCUGAGUUGAGUUAAACUAGAGAAAUUCCUUUCUUGGGAUUUUUUUCCCUCGUAGCCAGCUGUAGUCCAUUACCAGGGAGUC